Molecule: ribosomal RNA, 256 nt
Filed under: uncultured bacterium
Lineage: Bacteria
Description: partial 16S ribosomal RNA
Rfam family: Bacterial small subunit ribosomal RNA
Source: RNAcentral
UAAUACAGAGGGUGCGAGCGUUAAUCGGAAUUACUGGGCGUAAAGGGCGCGUAGGCGGCUAUGUAAGUUAGAUGUGAAAUCCUUGGGCUUAACCUGAGCAUUGCAUUUAAUACUGUAUGGCUAGAGUAAAGUAGAGGGAAGUGGAAUUUCCGGUGUAGCGGUGAAAUGCGUAGAUAUCGGAAAGAACAUCAGUGGCGAAGGCGGCUUUCUGGACUUAUACUGACGCUGAGGCGCGAAAGCAUGGGUAGCAAACAGG